AACAGGCGAAUCGGACAGGCUCCAGGCGGCACGCGCCAGUGUGUCAUGUGUGAGGCAUCCAGGUCGAGGACUCGAGGUCGAGGCCACGGUUCCUCGACGAACAAGAAGCGCCGUUCGGAAUGAGAUUCUCAAGACCUAGGAGCUGUGGACAAGGGAUUCUCUGAAGAAGGCGAGUCAAGCGUCAAUCCUUUUGGAACUUGUGUCAGUCAAGCUACUUGUAAGCAUGAGUGGCAACGGAUUACGAUUCUAUUGAUUUAACUUUAAAAUCCAACUUGUCUCUUGUAUAUUUUUAACUUGAAAUCAUAUUAAAUUAUCUCAACUUGUUUAGAGCCCA
Long non-coding RNA from Panicum virgatum (switchgrass), 334 nucleotides. RefSeq lists it as uncharacterized. The transcript is spliced from 2 exons. The record is from RefSeq and is a predicted model, not a curated record. NCBI's taxonomy places the organism in Eukaryota, Viridiplantae, Streptophyta, Magnoliopsida, Poales, Poaceae.